Molecule: long non-coding RNA, 523 nt
Organism: Oryza sativa Japonica Group (Japanese rice)
Lineage: Eukaryota; Viridiplantae; Streptophyta; Magnoliopsida; Poales; Poaceae
Source: RefSeq, a predicted model, not a curated record
UUUGUACCUUUGCUACAACUAUCUUCAACCCCUGCAAUUCCUUAUCCCCCCUUCUGCUUAGAGCUAUGUGAGAUCCAAAUUUCCAGGUACUCCAUAAAAAUGGCCAAAGUUCUACACUACUAAAGCAACAAGAGCAAGGGCACUUCCCAAUUAUCCCCAACUUCGUUUCUAGCUCUUUUUGGUGUGAUUUGAUGGUGCUUUGGAGGGUGGAGGUGUUCGUGUUGGAGAUGGUGUGGGUGAUGCUCAGCGGCUGGCUCUCCUCCUGCCUCGCCGUCGCCGACUACGUCGCCACGGCGCUCAGGCAGAGUGGUGACGACGUCUCCGGCUAGAAUUUCUUUGGACGAACUGGAUAUAAAUCAUCUUCCAUGCCUGCAUUUGUUGUUUGGUUUCUUUGUGUGUUUGUGAGCAUUUAUACACAUUGCAAUUGUGUAUAUAUCCGAAUGUUAUUUUAAUUUUUUUUUGUACGACAUGAUUUGAGGCAAAUUAAAAUAGAUUGCAAUGGAUAUUUCUCAAAUUAUCUCAA